RNAcentral lists this ribosomal RNA (326 nucleotides) under uncultured Anoxybacillus sp. Its description in RNAcentral is "bacterial SSU rRNA". It matches the Rfam family "Bacterial small subunit ribosomal RNA", at positions 1054 to 1382 of the family's 1533-position model. Lineage: Bacteria; Bacillati; Bacillota; Bacilli; Caryophanales; Anoxybacillaceae. The record is from RNAcentral.
GUCAGCUCGUGUCGUGAGAUGUGGGUUAAGUCCCGCAACGAGCGCAACCCUCGACCUUAGUUGCCAGCAUUCAGUUGGGCACUCUAAGGUGACUGCCGGCUAAAAGUCGGAGGAAGGUGGGGAUGACGUCAAAUCAUCAUGCCCCUUAUGACCUGGGCUACACACGUGCUACAAUGGGCGGUACAAAGGGUCGCGAACCCGCGAGGGGGAGCCAAUCCCAAAAAGCCGCUCUCAGUUCGGAUUGCAGGCUGCAACUCGCCUGCAUGAAGCCGGAAUCGCUAGUAAUCGCGGAUCAGCAUGCCGCGGUGAAUACGUUCCCGGGCCUU